GACGACCGCUGGCGGCGUGCUUAACACAUGCAAGUCGAACGGAAAGGCCCUGCUUUUGUGGGUUGCUCUGGUGGCGCACGGGUGUGUAACACGCGAGUACCCUGCCCUUGACUUUGGGAUAACUUCAGGAAACUGGGGCUCCUACCGGAUAGGAGCUCCUGCUGCAUGGUGGGGGUUGGAAAGUUUCGGCGGUUGGGGAUGGACUCGCGGCUUAUCAGCUUGUUGGUGGGGUAGUGGCUUACCAAGGCUUUGACGGAUAGCCGGCCUGAGAGGGUGACCGGCCCCCCUGGGAAUGGGAUAGGCACCAUACUCAUACGGGAGGCAGCGGUGGGGAAGCUAGCAUAGGGAGCCGAGGUCUAAUGCAGCACUGUAGGGUGCGGUAGGAAGGUCUGGCGGUAGAAGGCCGGGUAUGGCUGUGGUGUGGCGUGUGUGAGGGUAAUGGGUGAAGAAGGAACGGCUAGCUACGUG
RNAcentral lists this ribosomal RNA (468 nucleotides) under uncultured bacterium. RNAcentral's name for it is "partial 16S ribosomal RNA". It matches the Rfam family "Bacterial small subunit ribosomal RNA", at positions 28 to 507 of the family's 1533-position model. The record is from RNAcentral.